CGUACACAGACUCAGAGUGGCGGCACUAACUCCAUUAAUGCCUCGGGUGACAGUACUGUAGCAGGGAACACCAUGGUUGGUGAACAGAACAAAUUUUACAAAAGGUGUAUCGAGUGCGGGAAAAAGGCGUCGAAAACUAACAGUGCUUCAAAGGUACUCAAGAAGAAGGCGCCAAAGACAGCGAAAAAGCCCAAGAAGAAGGUGCCAAAAACAAACCAAAAUCCUAAGAAGAAGAAGCCAACGACACCGGUAAAGCCCAAAUCAACACAAAAGAAACAUCCUAAAGCCAUAGCACCAAAAAGACGAAAGUCUAAAACUACUGGACGGGGGCGGCCUCAGAAAAAGUCAAAGAAAUAGAAAAAAAAUGAAUUUGGAUGCCUGUCAAUAUCUUGUCCAAUACAGCUUAUCAAUAUUUUUAACGUACAUACUUCCAGAAUUUCGUUAUGAUAAAAACAUUAACAUUUUAGUCGUAUCUCAAAGACAUUGCAUGUACAAUUUUUAGUUUUUUUGUUUUUUUGUACGAUACAUCUCUCAUGAAUGUCUUUCACACGAUUUAAAGGAACAUAACAAUAACGGUACUUAUGCAAUGGUAGUUUCUGUGUGAUGUUUCUGUGUCUUUAGUAAUCUGCAAUUUAUUAAAAACAUGAUCCCAUCAUCAUAAUCUUCAAACCAACCAAAUUAAAUGAAUUAGGUUGGUUUGAAGAUAAUGAAAAGUAAAUGUAUUAAGGAGUCACAUUUUGAAGAAGAUUUUGUUGUCAAGAAGGCUUGUAUAAUGUUGAAUUUCAUUACUUGUACUUAUAUAAAGUUAAAUUGGUUCAAGGCCAACGUGGUUAAUGACCUUGACUACUUAUAUAAAAAUCAAUGAUUAUGAAUAUUGAGAAAAUAGUAUCAAUUCUUCAAAUUUCAUUAAAGAUUUUGUAAAAUAUCAUGCACGCAAUAUGAUACAAAUCAUAUAACCUGGGCAAAGGCAUAAGGAAAUCAAGUUUUUUUUUAGUGGGGGAUAUAAAGGGAAAUGAAUGGGAUACAAAUAUAUAAACAACUGAUAAAUAGUGAGUCAAUGACGUUUCAAAUUGAUGACCAAUUUUGCAAUUUGUGUAGUAAUUUUCAAAGUUCUAUAGUUUUCCAUACUCUAAAAGAUAUAAAUCAUAACUUCCUUAUUAGUUAUCCAAUUUUACUCAAUUUUGGUGGCUCUGUUUCUCUUGUAUUUCUGCAUCUAUUAAAAGCAAAUUAUGUUUGGAGUAGACUUAGACUUUAAGCAUAACCUAAAACUUCACCCAUUGCGUACAAACUUUAUAUAUUAUCCAGGCUAAAUGAGGCCUUCUCAACUGGCGGCCCUUGCGGUCAGUUGGAGUGGUGCGCGACUGUUGCAAAUAUAUAUAUAGAUAUAUUUAGAAUUAAAAACACAGCAAAAUCAAGAAGCCGCAGUCAAAGUUGAGCCCAAAAUGUCUGCUUAACAAACAGGAAGAAAGGGGAAUUUAAUGGGUUUGUUCUCAAUUUUAAUAUACGACUCUAAACCUGAGCUCUAAAUAACAAUAAGCUUAAAAUGUGCUACCAAUGUUUACAUUACCGAUCUCUGGAAACAUCUUGUUUUUGUUUGUUUGAUUUUCACUUAAUUUUGACAUUUCCCGUGUUUAUUGCACCAAAUUAUACAUAUAAAAUCUACCUCCAGUGUAAUUGUACCCCAAAAUUGUACUAAUUUGUCCACAUCAAUAUGAAAUUAUGAUUGAUAUAUUUGUUGAAAAGAAAGGUGUUAAACAUGCCACAUAUGGGCCUUUAGAAAGCCCUAAAAUCCACCAGCUUUAGAGGGCUCCGCCCCCUGCACCCCCGAUGGGGCUUCGCCCCUUGACCCCGCCCCUUGUUGGCUUUGGCUCCCUCGCAGCACAGUCAAACAUACAGGUUAGCACUUCAAAUACAAAUUCUUUUCGUUUUGGCACUUCUAAUAACUAGUUGAGAAGGCUGCUAUACAUGUCGUCGUUUCAACAAUUGCAUCUAUCUAGAAGGAAUUGUUUAAGUCUACGUUUAAAUGAAAAAAUAGUAGGAGCUGAUUUAAUGUUAUCCUUUAAUAAAUUCCAUAUCUGUGGUCCGGUAUACUAUAAGUCUUUUGAGCAGUGACGGUUCUGGUCUGUGGUAGAUGAAACUGAUGAUUGUCUAAUGGGGUACUUGUGUACUUCAGUGUGUUUAAAAAAUAAUUGUAACAAUCUUCUGGUAACUGAUUUGUGUCCAAAUGGUACAUAAAACAACCGAGUUUAUACAAAUAUAA
This is a long non-coding RNA of Strongylocentrotus purpuratus (purple sea urchin), 2260 nucleotides long. RefSeq lists it as uncharacterized. The transcript is spliced from 2 exons. The record is from RefSeq and is a predicted model, not a curated record. NCBI's taxonomy places the organism in Eukaryota, Metazoa, Echinodermata, Echinoidea, Camarodonta, Strongylocentrotidae.